CUGAGAGCCCAUCUCCUCUGGUACCUGCCAGGAUCUCCUGCUGGGGAGGGCUCUGAGAAAGUUGAGGAGCUGCCUCCCGGCUUCUGGGGAGCCACCACCACUCCCCGCCAGCUUAGGGAAGACACAGGAGAGACAGCCCCUGCACCAUCUCCCUGCUCGUCACUGUUGGCAGGAUCGCAGCUGGAGGCCACCCAGGCAAACCGCAGCCAUCAUUGCCAGCACCGCUGCCCACCAGGGACAGGAGAUGGGUUUUACAGAAGGAUGCGACCUGGGAUCUGCCGACCACCUGAAGAGUUCAGCAGCCCCGAGAAGUUUGUCAGGAGCUGAAUCACUUGGCCGAAUUCGACAGGCAAGGAUGAGCGAUCACCUGGGGAGCUGGACGCACCAUCAGGGCUAGAAUCCCUCAUGCAGGUUCUUCUUGGGCCUGAAGUCUCGGGAGCAAGGCUCAUUUAUUGUUCUCGAUGGGAAACCCCAUCAUCAUCACUGUCAUCAUCAUCACCAUCAUCUCCACCACCACCAUCGUUUCCCAGAUAUGCCUGAAUUUGCAUGAAGGGACUGAGAACCUUGUGUCAGAAUGCGCUUCUGAUCUCCCAAGAACCUCUUUCAACUCAACAGGGAAAGAAAGUGGGAGCGAAGCAGAUGGCCUAAAUCUCACCCUUGAGAGAACAGAAUGCUGGCCUGCAUCCUGGACCCUGACUCCGACUACCUGGGCAAUGUGGCAACUCUGCAGCGUGGCAACAAGUGGCAAGGUGACCAGCGCACUUACCAUUAUGGG
Ornithorhynchus anatinus (platypus) is the source of this 775-nucleotide long non-coding RNA. RefSeq lists it as uncharacterized. Lineage: Eukaryota; Metazoa; Chordata; Mammalia; Monotremata; Ornithorhynchidae. The transcript is spliced from 3 exons. The record is from RefSeq and is a predicted model, not a curated record.